AACGAACGCUGGCGGCAUGCCUAACACAUGCAAGUCGAACGAGACCUUCGGGUCUAGUGGCGCACGGGUGCGUCACGCGUGGGAACCUGCCCUUGGGCUCGGCAUAACUCCCCGAAAGGGGUGCUAAUACCGGAUAAUGUCUUCGGCCCAAAGAUUUAUCGCCUUUGGAUGGGCCCGCGUUGGAUUAGCUAGUUGGUAGGGUAAAAGCCUACCACGGCGACGAUCCAUAGCUGGUCUGAGAGGAUGAUCAGCGACACUGGGACUGAGACACGGCCCAGACUCCUACGGGAGGCAGCAGUGGGGAAUAUUGGACAAUGGGCGAAAGCCUGAUCCAGCAAUGCCGCGUGAGUGAUGAAGGCCUUAGGGUUGUAAAGCUCUUUUACCCGGGAUGAUAAUGACAGUACCGGGAGAAUAAGCUCCGGCUAACUCCGUG
This 433-nucleotide ribosomal RNA is filed under the name uncultured bacterium. RNAcentral's name for it is "partial 16S ribosomal RNA". It matches the Rfam family "Bacterial small subunit ribosomal RNA", at positions 29 to 507 of the family's 1533-position model. The record is from RNAcentral.